Long non-coding RNA from Cyanistes caeruleus (blue tit), 1061 nucleotides. RefSeq lists it as uncharacterized. The record is from RefSeq and is a predicted model, not a curated record. Lineage: Eukaryota; Metazoa; Chordata; Aves; Passeriformes; Paridae.
CUUGUGCUGCUUGUAUGGAUGCAACAGAGUGCAGUACAAUGUCCUGGAGCUCUAACAGCCUGAGAAAGGUGAAAUGAAGUGCAAAGAUUGAGCCAGCCAUAGAUUUUCCUAUUAAUUCGCUGAGCAGAAGGUGUCUGCAGUCUGCACCUUCAUACUGCUGGUAGGAGGGAUACUGAAGAUGCUGAUGCCUCAAUAUACUGCUGCUUGCAGAGAUUUAUCUUGCCCACACAGAUGAUUUUUCUUUCUCAUCCUGUUGUCAAGAACUGCAGAGUAUCAACAAGAUUCCUCAUUAUGCCUUUUGAAAGGAUGGCUGUAUUCAAAGAUGAAGGAGAAGAAAGGCAAAGUCUGAUUUCUGGACUUAAAAGAGCUCUCAUAAAAGGCAGAUAUUUAGAUCAGACUGAAAUGGCCUGAAACCAUCUUUAUUAUUCUGGCAUUCAAGCAGUCAGCUUGCCAGCUUGAAAUUCCACACAUCUUAUAGAUGAAACAUAUUCUUUGGGUGUGCUCAGUGGCUGCAUGACUCCUCAUCAAGUAAAGUAUUUUGCAGUCAGUGGGUUGGAUCCAUACACUGGAACAAACUGGAUGUAAGAUUACUUUGUACUGGUCAUUUCUUCCAAGCCACUAUAAAGGACUGCUGACAGCUAUAAUCCUUGCAUUGCCCACAUUAUGCAACAAUAAGCCAGCAUGUAUCUGAGAAGCUGUUUAGAUAGAAAUUAUUCUCUCCAUGGAGAAUUGCCAGACUCUUCUAUUUGUGUGAGCAACCAAUAAAUGGCUAAUGACACUUACCACUUUCCCAAGAAUUUUCACCCAGUUUGCGCUGUAUUUCACUUUCACUACAGUCCCAUGUGGAAUGGAGCACACAGAUAAUGUGUAGAAUAGCAACUUAGAUGAAUCUGGUCUCACAAAGAUGAACAGAAGAGGGAAUACAUGUACAAUUUGAAAUAACUGUACAGAAAAAGAAGCUCCUAACUUCUAGAAAUAAAAUUAUGCACAGAAAGAAAUAGACACCAAAUAAUGGAAUUAGACAAAUAAGCAGAACUGGUAGGUAAGAAGAAGGAAUCCCU